UAUCAGAAGUGCGAAUGCUGACAUAAGUAACGAUAAAGCGGGUGAAAAGCCCGCUCGCCGGAAGACCAAGGGUUCCUGUCCAACGUUAAUCGGGGCAGGGUGAGUCGACCCCUAAGGCGAGGCCGAAAGGCGUAGUCGAUGGGAAACGGGUUAAUAUUCCCGUACUUGGUGUUACUGCGAAGGGGGGACGGAGAAGGCUAUGUUGGCCGGGCGACGGUUGUCCCGGUUUAAGCGUGUAGGUGUGUGUUCCAGGUAAAUCCGGUUCACUUUAACACUGAGGCGUGAUGACGAGGCACCACGGUGCUGAAGCAACAAAUGCCCUGCUUCCAGGAAAAGCCUCUAAGCAUCAGGUAACAUCAAAUCGUACCCCAAACCGACACAGGUGGUCAGGUAGAGAAUACCAAGGCGCUUGAGAGAACUCGGGUGAAGGAACUAGGCAAAAUGGUGCCGUAACUUCGGGAGAAGGCACGCUGACACGUAGGUGAAGUGAUUUACUCAUGGAGCUGAAGUCAGUCGAAGAUACCAGCUGGCUGCAACUGUUUAUUAAAAACACAGCACUGUGCAAACACGAAAGUGGACGUAUACGGUGUGACGCCUGCCCGGUGCCGGAAGGUUAAUUGAUGGGGUCAGCGCAAGCGAAGCUCCUGAUCGAAGCCCCGGUAAACGGCGGCCGUAACUAUAACGGUCCUAAGGUAGCGAAAUUCCUUGUCGGGUAAGUUCCGACCUGCACGAAUGGCGUAAUGAUGGCCAGGCUGUCUCCACCCGAGACUCAGUGAAAUUGAACUCGCUGUGAAGAUGCAGUGUACCCGCGGCAAGACGGAAAGACCCCGUGAACCUUUACUAUAGCUUGACACUGAACAUUGAGCCUUGAUGUGUAGGAUAGGUGGGAGGCUUUGAAGCGUGGACGCCAGUCUGCGUGGAGCCGACCUUGAAAUACCACCCUUUAAUGUUUGAUGUUCUAACGUGGACCCGUAAUCCGGGUUGCGGACAGUGUCUGGUGGGUAGUUUGACUGGGGCGGUCUCCUCCUAAAGAGUAACGGAGGAGCACGAAGGUUGGCUAAUCCUGGUCGGACAUCAGGAGGUUAGUGCAAUGGCAUAAGCCAGCUUGACUGCGAGCGUGACGGCGCGAGCAGGUGCGAAAGCAGGUCAUAGUGAUCCGGUGGUUCUGAAUGGAAGGGCCAUCGCUCAACGGAUAAAAGGUACUCCGGGGAUAACAGGCUGAUACCGCCCAAGAGUUCAUAUCGACGGCGGUGUUUGGCACCUCGAUGUCGGCUCAUCACAUCCUGGGGCUGAAGUAGGUCCCAAGGGUAUGGCUGUUCGCCAUUUAAAGUGGUACGCGAGCUGGGUUUAGAACGUCGUGAGACAGUUCGGUCCCUAUCUGCCGUGGGCGCUGGAAGACUGAGGGGGGCUGCUCCUAGUACGAGAGGACCGGAGUGGACGCAUCACUGGUGUUCGGGUUGUCAUGCCAAUGGCACUGCCCGGUAGCUAAAUGCGGAAAAGAUAAGUGCUGAAAGCAUCUAAGCACGAAACUUGCCCCGAGAUGAGUCUUCCCUGAGACUU
RNAcentral lists this ribosomal RNA (1560 nucleotides) under Salmonella enterica subsp. diarizonae. RNAcentral's name for it is "partial 23S ribosomal RNA". It matches the Rfam family "Bacterial large subunit ribosomal RNA", at positions 1280 to 2823 of the family's 2925-position model. Lineage: Bacteria; Pseudomonadati; Pseudomonadota; Gammaproteobacteria; Enterobacterales; Enterobacteriaceae. The record is from RNAcentral.